AAAUAGCCAUCAAAGUUCAACAGCCCUAUGCCAUGACAAGCUGACAAGGACAAGAAGCAGCAAGUAGACCAAAGGUAGCAAUAGGAACAGCCCAAAACAUGCCCAUAAGCCACAUUAGUGCACCAAUAGGCAAGAGGGCAGAGAAGCCAGCGAACCCAGUAAGGAACCUUUGAAAACUAACAGUAAGCACCAGAAGGCAUAAGCACAAGGACUGCCAAA
RNAcentral lists this long non-coding RNA (219 nucleotides) under Panax ginseng (ginseng). RNAcentral's name for it is "long non-coding RNA (PGIN_LNC012355)". The record is from RNAcentral. Lineage: Eukaryota; Viridiplantae; Streptophyta; Magnoliopsida; Apiales; Araliaceae.